This is an RNA transcript of Helianthus annuus (common sunflower), 1671 nucleotides long. It is a transcript of the gene named ABC transporter I family member 11, chloroplastic, with no coding region annotated. NCBI's taxonomy places the organism in Eukaryota, Viridiplantae, Streptophyta, Magnoliopsida, Asterales, Asteraceae. The transcript is spliced from 13 exons. The record is from RefSeq and is a predicted model, not a curated record.
UGGUAGCUCUCACUUGUUUCAAACUGGACGGGACCAACAAUUCAUCAAGUUUUGUCCCAGUCGGACCGCAUAAUCCUCAGCGACACCAAAAAUGACGAGCUUCCCGAUUCCUCCGUAUUCCGUCGUGAACCGGAGACUAUUCGUCAAACUGCCGAAACCUAAUCCACCUAAUUCAUACAGUAAGAAGAACCGAGCAUUCGAGAUUUCAUGCGGCCACUCCUAUUUCGAAGCUAGGGAUAUUAAAUACAGACCUCCAGGGACUCAGAUAAACCUUUUAAAUGAUGUUAGUUUUACUCUUCCAGAGAAAAGUUUUGGUUUAAUUUUUGGACGAAGUGGAAGCGGGAAGACUACCCUUUUGCAGCUUAUAGCAGGGCUAACUAAACCAACGUCAGGCUCUAUUUAUGUUCAAAGAUACAGUGAUGAUGGCAGCCCAACCCAGCCACCUGUGCCAUUAUCUUCAGAGAGAGUUGGUAUCGUUUUUCAGUUUCCUGAACGGUACUUUGUGGCAGAUAAUGUUUUUGAUGAAAUUACAUUUGGGCUGCCUAGACAGAAAAGUGACCUUAAAGUUAAAGAACUUAUUGCUCGACGACUUGAAAGAGCUAUCACUUCGGUUGGUCUAAAUGGGAUUCCAUUGGAUAAAAAUCCAAACUCCCUAAGUGGUGGCUACAAACGUCGUCUUGCUCUUGCUGUUCAGCUGGUUCAAAGUCCAGAAUUACUGGUACUUGAUGAGCCUCUAGCUGGUCUCGAUUGGAAAGCACGUGCGGAUGUUGUUAAGCUGCUCAAGAAUUUAAAGAAGGAAUUGACUAUACUUGUUGUAAGCCAUGACCUUAAAGAGUUAACACCUCUGGUUGACAAAUCAUGGAGGAUGGAUGUGGGUGGACUACUGUCGGAAAAGCCCUUACCGGCAUAAUCUUCUGAUUUUAUUACUCUUGACAUAUGACUUUCACGUCUUCUAGAGCUGUUUCUGGAUGGAUUUUUCUUGACUUCCGGAAGACCUAAAAAAGGAACGACGUGCCAACCACUGUGACACCGGGCGCUGUGACCAAGGUCGACUACUCGUCCUCCGCCAACCCCGUGGCUCUCCCAGAUGUGCGGAAACCCGACCUCCACCCGCCCGAAGGCACGCCGGUGGAAUAAUCGGUAAAACCUCGCCUCCCAUCCAAGACGAACCGGCGCCACCCGUAUUCGCCCUUCACCUGGUUGCCGCAGAAAAUAAUGUGAUGAACAGUCUCUAUCUUUACAAACAAUUGUCUCUCUACUGUCACGGCCCAAGAAUGUGAACUUGCUGAAUAUGCCAUUAGUAGAUAUAUACCAGAAUAGGCUAUCCUUUGAACAAAACAAUUGAAGAAUGUUGCUAAAGUCCCAUGAAAACUGAAACAUCACAUAGUUUAAGGAAAGUUCAUACUGAAUGCACAGCAGCCAGACUAUGUUUUCCUGAUCAAACAAAGUGUGAACGGAGAUCUAUAUUAUUGGUGAUUAGACUUAAUAUCUGGGUAAUUGGCCUACAGAUUGUAUGAUUGAUCACUUUUGUGAUUAGUCCAUAAAGCAAGGUUGGUUAGUGUGAUGAGGUGGCAGUGGUCAUUGAUAAAGGUAAAUAUCUGGCAACUAAAGCAGUGAUUGUAGCAGGUAGUACAGUUGGUUUGUGGUCAAAUUAUCAUGUGUAUUCUUUUC